Molecule: ribosomal RNA, 498 nt
Filed under: uncultured bacterium
Lineage: Bacteria
Description: partial 16S ribosomal RNA
Rfam family: Bacterial small subunit ribosomal RNA
Source: RNAcentral
AUUGAACGCUGGCGGCAUGCCUUACACAUGCAAGUCGAACGGUAACGCGGGGCAACCUGGCGACGAGUGGCGAACGGGUGAGUAAUGCAUCGGGACGUGCCCAGUAGUGGGGGAUAGCCCGGCGAAAGCCGGAUUAAUACCGCAUACGACCUACGGGUGAAAGCGGGGGACCGCAAGGCCUCGCGCUAUUGGAGCGGCCGAUGUCAGAUUAGGUUGUUGGUGGGGUAAAGGCCUACCAAGCCGACGAUCUGUAGCUGGUCUGAGAGGACGACCAGCCACACUGGGACUGAGACACGGUCCAGACUCCUACGGGAGGCAGCAGUGGGGAAUUUUGGACAAUGGGCGAAAGCCUGAUCCAGCCAUUCCGCGUGCAGGAUGAAGGCCCUCGGGUUGUAAACUGCUUUUGUACAGAACGAAAAGGUUUCUACUAAUACUAGGAGCUCAUGACGGUACUGUAAGAAUAAGCACCGGCUAACUACGUGCCAGCAGCCGCAGUAA